Pogona vitticeps (central bearded dragon) is the source of this 657-nucleotide non-coding RNA. Lineage: Eukaryota; Metazoa; Chordata; Lepidosauria; Squamata; Agamidae. The record is from RefSeq and is a predicted model, not a curated record.
UCGGGCGUACCCAAGAAGUUGGCGUAGCAAAACAGCAUCUCCUCCCGCGAGUUGGAGGAGGAAGAGGCCGGGCGGGGAAGAGUCUCAUUUGAAAUCCACGCAUGCUAUUUUUUUUUCUCGCCCAUCCGUAUCUCCUCAAACUCUCAGCACUUCAAAGAUCUGGAAGGCUUCAGCUACUCUUUGCCAAAUCUUGCUUGUACCAGAUUAUUUGAAAUUCAGUAGAGGAAGAGGAAAGCAGGGUUCGUUGGAUUGGGGGACAGAGGCCGGUUCAGCUCUCAGAAACGUUCAAGCUCCGUCUCUUCAUCCCACGUGACUACUGAGCUGAGAAACAGGUCCAGUCCACACAGAGUCUUUUUGCUAUCCUUGAAUACUGUCUACGGGGAUAGCUUGUAGGGGAGGUGCAACAGGUAUCUGUUUUAUACAUAAGAAGAUGUACUUUUGUACAGCAGUUCAUGUUUGGUAGAGAGGAUCUUUGUUGGAGGAUGCAGUGAAUGGAGACAGCGUGAUCCCACAAAAAAGGCAUCAGUUGUUGUAAUAAUCUUCUCUGUGUGCUGGAAGAUCUCAGAAGAAGGUCACAUGAUCUGUACUGUGAAUGCUGGGGGAGGGGCAGAAACAAGAACCGCUGACUGCAGUCCCUCUGUGCCAAAAUAUUUUGAA